Molecule: ribosomal RNA, 492 nt
Filed under: uncultured bacterium
Lineage: Bacteria
Description: partial 16S ribosomal RNA
Rfam family: Bacterial small subunit ribosomal RNA
Source: RNAcentral
AGUGAACGCUGGCGGUAGGCCUAACACAUGCAAGUCGAACGGCAGCACAGUAAGAGCUUGCUCUUACGGGUGGCGAGUGGCGGACGGGUGAGGAAUACAUCGGAAUCUACUUUUUCGUGGGGGAUAACGUAGGGAAACUUACGCUAAUACCGCAUACGACCUACGGGUGAAAGCAGGGGAUCUUCGGACCUUGCGCGAUUGAAUGAGCCGAUGUCGGAUUAGCUAGUUGGCGGGGUAAAGGCCCACCAAGGCGACGAUCCGUAGCUGGUCUGAGAGGAUGAUCAGCCACCCUGGAAGUGGGACACGCUCCAGACGCCUGCGGGAGGGAGCAGUGGGGAAUAUUGGACAAUGGGCGGAAGCCUGAUCCAGCCAUACCGCGUGGGUGAAGAAGGCCUUCGGGUUGUAAAGCCCUUUUGUUGGGAAAGAAAAGCAGCAGGUUAAUACCCCGCUGUUCUGACGGUACCCAAAGAAUAAGCACCGGCUAACUUCGUG